This 1015-nucleotide ribosomal RNA is filed under the name Plasmodium cynomolgi. RNAcentral's name for it is "SSU rRNA". It matches the Rfam family "Eukaryotic small subunit ribosomal RNA", at positions 141 to 1091 of the family's 1831-position model. Lineage: Eukaryota; Apicomplexa; Aconoidasida; Haemosporida; Plasmodiidae. The record is from RNAcentral.
GGAUAACUACGGAAAAGCUGUAGCUAAUACUUGCUUUAGCACUCUUGAUUAAGUUCUUGAGUGUGUACUUGUUAAGCCUUUUAAGAAAAAAGUUAUUAACUUAAGGAAUUAUAACAAAGAAGUAACACGUAAUGGAUCCGUCCAUUUUUAGUGUGUAUCAAUCGAGUUUCUGACCUAUCAGCUUUUGAUGUUAGGGUAUUGGCCUAACAUGGCUAUGACGGGUAACGGGGAAUUAGAGUUCGAUUCCGGAGAGGGAGCCUGAGAAAUAGCUACCACAUCUAAGGAAGGCAGCAGGCGCGUAAAUUACCCAAUUCUAAAGAAGAGAGGUAGUGACAAGAAAUAACAAUACAAGGCCAAUCUGGCUUUGUAAUUGGAAUGAUGGGAAUUUAAAACCUUCCCAAAACUCAAUUGGAGGGCAAGUCUGGUGCCAGCAGCCGCGGUAAUUCCAGCUCCAAUAGCGUAUAUUAAAAUUGUUGCAGUUAAAACGCUCGUAGUUGAAUUUCAAAGAAUCGAUAUUUUAAGUAACGCUUUUAGCUUAAUCCACAUAACUGAUACUACGUAUCGACUUUGUGCGCAUUUUGCUAUUAUGUGUUCUUUUAAUUAAAAUGAUUCUUUUUAAGAUCUUUCUCUUGCUUCGGCAUUUGAAGAUCUUGUUACUUUGAGUAAAUUAGAGUGUUCAAAGCAAACAGAUAUAGCAUUGCGCGUUUGAAUACUACAGCAUGGAAUAACAAAAUUGAACAAGUCAGAAUUUUGUUCUUUUUUCUUAUUUUGGCUUAGUUACGAUUAAUAGGAGUAGCUUGGGGGCAUUUGUAUUCAGAUGUCAGAGGUGAAAUUCUUAGAUUUUCUGGAGACAAACAACUGCGAAAGCAUUUGCCUAAAAUACUUCCAUUAAUCAAGAACGAAAGUUAAGGGAGUGAAGACGAUCAGAUACCGUCGUAAUCUUAACCAUAAACUAUGCCGACUAGGCUUUGGAUGAAAGAUUUUAAAAUAAGAGAUUUUCUCUUCGGAGUUAAUC